UGGGGAAUUUUGGACAAUGGGCGAAAGCCUGAUCCAGCAAUGCCGCGUGUGUGAAGAAGGCCUUCGGGUUGUAAAGCACUUUUGUCCGGAAAGAAAUCCUUGGCUCUAAUACAGUCGGGGGAUGACGGUACCGGAAGAAUAAGCACCGGCUAACUACGUGCCAGCAGCCGCGGUAAUACGUAGGGUGCAAGCGUUAAUCGGAAUUACUGGGCGUAAAGCGUGCGCAGGCGGUUUGCUAAGACCGAUGUGAAAUCCCCGGGCUCAACCUGGGAACUGCAUUGGUGACUGGCAGGCUAGAGUAUGGCAGAGGGGGGUAGAAUUCCACGUGUAGCAGUGAAAUGCGUAGAGAUGUGGAGGAAUACCGAUGGCGAAGGCAGCCCCCUGGGCCAAUACUGACGCUCAUGCACGAAAGCGUGGGGAGCAAACAGGAUUAGAUACCCUGGUAGUCCACGCCCUAAACGAUGUCAACUAGUUGUUGGGGAUUCAUUUCCUUAGUAACGUAGCUAACGCGUGAAGUUGACCGCCUGGGGAGUACGGUCGCAAGAUUAAAACUCAAUGAAUUGAC
This 565-nucleotide ribosomal RNA is filed under the name uncultured bacterium. RNAcentral's name for it is "partial 16S ribosomal RNA". It matches the Rfam family "Bacterial small subunit ribosomal RNA", at positions 355 to 914 of the family's 1533-position model. The record is from RNAcentral.